Molecule: transfer RNA, 83 nt
Filed under: Canis lupus familiaris (dog)
Lineage: Eukaryota; Metazoa; Chordata; Mammalia; Carnivora; Canidae
Also listed under: 2 other names
Rfam family: tRNA
About the family: Transfer RNA (tRNA) molecules are approximately 80 nucleotides in length.
Source: Rfam by way of RNAcentral
GCCUGAGUGGCUCAGUGGUUGAGCAUCUGGCUUUGGCUCAGGUCAUGAUCCUGGGGUCCUGGGAUUGAGUCCCUCAUCAGGCU